This 1940-nucleotide long non-coding RNA is filed under the name Equus caballus (horse). Its description in RNAcentral is "lncRNA (ENSECAG00000053614.1)". Lineage: Eukaryota; Metazoa; Chordata; Mammalia; Perissodactyla; Equidae. The record is from RNAcentral.
UAAGUGAGAGCCCAGGUCGUAGUCCUGGCUUCAUAGGAGUCCUUUAGUUUGCAAAGCACUUUCCUGUGCUCUCUUAGGGCCCAUGCAGACGACCAGCGGAGACUUCGGCUGGGGAGUCCACGUGUAGGUGUCAGCGCGAGGGCCAGAGGAGCCUGGUAGACAAUGGGCACCUUCGGAAGGCUAGCCCAGUGGCGGUAUAGACGAGAAGACCAGCGCUCGGCAGCGUGCACUCCGUGGCGUCCCGGUAGCUCGCCGUGAUCGUAUAGUGGUGGUUUCAUGCUGGGCAAUGAGCUGCUCCCCAGAAUCUGGGGAGAAAGUCUGGAGCAGUGACUCUCUUGGAGUAUUCGAGUAAAAGCAAUCAACCAAGAAAAUAAAAACCACAAACAUACACCAUCUGAGGUAACCCACUCAGCCAUUUACAUCCAACCAAGGCAGCUGAAGCGUAUUCUGAGGGCAGGAAUGCCCUAAAGAAAGUCAACAGAAGGUUCCUGGUUGCAGGAAGAGUAACUGAAGGGGAAGGUGCUCUCCUGCACCUCCAACUGCUGACCUUUUCGGCAGGUAUACCAUUAUCCUGGAGAUGGGUGCAUCCAGCUCGUGAAAUUUCAUAAUAUCCUCUUCCAAGGUCACUCACUCAAUUCCCCUUACUCUGAUUUCAGGCCCACAAAACAGACUUUUGCUAAUGAUUUGACUGCCCGUGUAGACGUUCCUGCAGGGAAGAGCAUUGCUCUGAACAAGCUUCUGAGUAGUUGGCAUUUGUUCUUCUUACUCUUGGUAUUUCGGUUUAGACUCUUAAGAGUCUGGUUGGUAUGAUUCAUUGCCCUUGAAUCUGCUUAUCUCUGGGCGCACUGGCAAAACGGAGUUUCUGGGCUGGCAAAGCUGUGAGCUAGAGACUCUGCCCUGGGAUGACCUCACCAGGAUUGCUGCUCUGUGACACCCUCUCUGAGCAGUCAGCACCCUCCUCCUUUGACCUCUUGUUUUAAACCCACGUUUUGUAGUUUUUGAUUCUGGGGAUAUGAUCCUUUUCCCCCACCCCUUCCAGCGUGAGGUCCGAGCUCUUCUCUAGGUCUCAGCACCAGCAAAGAGGCAGGCAGAACUUCAACGGGCAAACCUUGAAGGGAACAACUGUAAUUUAUAAGCUUCGGAGUGUUUGCUUCAACUAACAACCCCAUGGCUACCUGGUCACACCGGAGCAUCUGGGAGCUGUUGCUGCUGCAGCUGCCGGUCACCACAAGGGUGCAGUACAGACUGGACCAGCAUCCCGGUAUCACCUGGAAGCUGGUUCAAAUUCAGAAUCUUGGUCCACAACACAGAACUACUGGAUGAGAAUCUUCACUUGAACAAGAUCCUCCCCAGAUGAUUCAUCUGCACCUUCAAGUUUGAGAAGUGCUGCUGUCAUCUAGAGGAACUACCUGGCUCUAAGGGAGGUCUUCACUGUUCACCUUGUGAGUACUUGGGGUUCCUAAAAGGGACCUGCCCAUGUCUACUGGGCCUCAUCGAUGGGGGUGACUUUGAGGUUGUGAGGAAGGAAAGAGGGAGAUCUGGGAGGGAGUCACUGAGGGGCCCAUGUUUGGGGGCAUCUAAGGAGGAGGCAGCUUCCUGGACUUCCACUAGGAGGCGCUGCACCCCAGGAAGUGGAAGUAGAACGCUGAGGCUGGAUAAGACUCAGUCUAGAGGACUCCACUUUGGACUUCACCCCUCCAACAUGGAUUCUCUGGAUGUUCCUGACUCAAGUUCCAUUCAUUCAUUCAUUCACUCAUUCACUCACCAUUCAAAAUAGCAUCUUUUAGCUCUUAAAGUACAGUACAUCAUAGGGAGCUGCAAAGCUGUAUACAGAUACUUCUUGCCCAUGUGGUUUACUUUCCAGCUGGAAGAAAAUACUAGCCCACAGGCAACAAUAAGAAAACAACAGAAGACAUGCUGUAGAUGGAAGAGGCAUUUCU